Molecule: transfer-messenger RNA, 357 nt
Filed under: Ignavibacteriaceae
Lineage: Bacteria; Pseudomonadati; Ignavibacteriota; Ignavibacteria; Ignavibacteriales
Also listed under: 2 other names
Description: JAAYVN01 sp012517155 Standard tmRNA
Rfam family: transfer-messenger RNA
About the family: Bacterial tmRNA, also known as 10Sa RNA or SsrA, is named for its dual tRNA and mRNA-like properties.
Source: RNAcentral
GGGGGUGAAAUUUGGUUUCGACGGGGUUAAUGAGACGACGAAUAGCAUACCGUGUUUCCCGAAAAACACGUUAAACAUCGGACAAAAAAAAUAACUGGCGAAUCUAAUUACGCCUUAGCUGCUUAAUAUAAGCAGCCGUUCUAUAGUCUUUUGCGUACCGGGGAUUAUCAGAGCGUCGUUUAGGUAUGAUAGCUGAACCGAGAACCUGAGUAGGUGAUGUGAAAAUUUAUCAGGAAUACCGUCAGAAACGUUGCUUAACAGAGAUCUGACGGCGUAAAUAAAAAAGUUAAGAUAAGUAUGUAGAAGUUCGUUGGGGCAUAACUUCGGACGCGGGUUCGACUCCCGCCACCUCCACCA